UUUUUUUUAAUUAAAAAAUAUGAAAGUUUCAAAUUUUUAGGUGUUGGCCAUUAAUUCAAUUUUGUAUAAGUCUUUUGCAAAGAUGGUGAACACACUCCUAAGCCAGAUUUGGCUGUGGGGCACUAGAUUCUAACCUCCACUCUUGGUGGUGAGGGAAGGCUAUGUCUCGUCCAUUUCUGUAACUUCUGGAAACCACUCGUGCACAGUAGCUUCUUGAUGACUGCAGGCGGAGUAGCAGGUUUCUUGGAACUGAGAUACCCUGGCCCAUCAGGUGGAGGGUCAGUUUCAGAAGCUCAGUGAUUACAGGAGUGGUUGCCUCCCAAGUAGCUUCCACAGUCUGUAGAGGGUCCCAAGGAGCAUGCCCUAACGUGCACGUGGGUGGCAGGAAGAGAACAGAGACACUGAAAAGACUGAACACACUGGUUCUUGACCAGAAGUCAUGUUGUCCCCCAGUGGACACUUGGCAAUGUCUGACAUUUUUAGCUGUCACAUCUGGGGAACGGGUGCCACUGGCAUCUUGUGGGUAGAGGCCAGGGAUGCUUUUAAACAUCUACAAUGCAUAGAACAGCCCCUACGCGCCCCCCCGCCCCCCCCACACACAAUUACCCCAGCCUCAAAUGUCAAUAGUGUAGAGAUCUAGAAGCCCUGGAACAGGGAGGUUGGAGGCCCAGACAGACCGAGCCUCAGUCAUGGCUCUGCUCAGGUUUCCUGUGUGACCUUGAACUUCUUAUUAAUAAGCCUCACUAACUCUCAUUUUUCUGUAGACUGAAGUUAGUGGAAGUAGCAUUCUUUCCAGGGUGGGUGUGAGGUUUCAGUGAGAUGAUGUGAGUCAAAUGCUUAGCUCAUGCCUGACACAUAGUUACAUCCUCACCAUGUCUCAGCUGCUGUUGAUAUCCACCUACCUGUAUAUCCGCCUGAACUAUGCAAAAAGAAGGGGUUUUGCAAACUUUUGCAUGCAGGCUUAGAAUUCAACAUUAGCAGGACCCUGACACAGCAAACUUCCAAGCUAUGAAGUGAAUCAAUGUUCAGGUUAACCGAUGGAAAUCACUUUUCUUUUUAUGAGUGUGCGUCUCGAUGCCUUGCAUUUUAUUUGACAAUAGCCCCAUCAAACCUAACAUGUUGUGCCUUCCCAGCCCUCAAAGUGAAGAUGAAAAGAGCCAUCAAAAUGAACAACUAAUAAGCAAGUGCACGUCUUUCCCUGCUGUCCUCCUCAUCAACCUCGCUUUGAUGUGAGUCUUUUUUUUUUUAUCUUUGAGACAGAGUCUUGCUCUGUCGCCCAGGCUAGAGUACAGUGGUGCAAUCUCGGCUCACUACAACCUCCACCUCCCGGGAUCAAGCUGUUCUCCAGCCUCAGCCUCCCUAGUAGGUGUGAUUACAGGUGCCCACGACCAUGUCAGGAUAAUUUUUGUAUUUUUAGUUAGAGACGAGGUUUCCUUAUGUUGGCCAGGCUUGUCUCGAACUGCUGACCUCAGGUGAUCCGCCCCACAUCAGCCUCCCAAAGUGCUGGGAUUAUAGGUGUGAGCCACUGUGCCCAGCCUGAUGUGAGUCUAUAAUUGAUUAUUUAAUGGGAAAAAAAGCCAGGUUAGGUUCUGGGCUCCAGCGAACACAACCAGGACUAGAGAGAGGCCUUGAAAUAGGAAAGUGGGGGCCAGAGAGGCAAGAAAUAUUAACAAUGUGGAAACUUACUUAGAGAGUAUUUGUCUUUCAAAUGAUCUGAUCCUUUUGUCCGGGGCCAUUACAAUCUGGAGGAGAGGAUUUUUCAAUUAGAGAAAUUAGUGCCUUCCCUUCGUGACUGGCUUCAGAUUCAGACCCAGAAGGAAGAAAGUGUUCUUGAAUUCCAUGAAGUAAAAGAGACAGUUUCCAUGAUGUAAGCCGAGGAGGGUAGAGACUUGGCAAGACAUCAGGUCAGAUAUCUUUUUGCGGGAAAGGGGUCCCAGCCAAGACUAAAUUAGAAUCCACUCUCUGUUGGAGUCAAAGCCUCGGUUGAUCUGCAGAGGGACAGUGUGGGAGGCAGUGCUCUGAGCGUGGGCCCUUGGGCAGAGGGAACAGGAAGGUAUCUGUCCCCCUGGGGGACCCCCGCGAUGGAGCUCACUCCAUCUAGAAAGAGGGGCUGCAGCUGAAGCCAAGGGAAAUGCUCUCUCCAGGGAUCCCGAGGUUCUGGAAAAAGCUUCAUCGCUUUGUGGCCAGGCAACUGAGUGUGGCCGCCUUUAGGAGAAGGCGGAGGCAGCACAGCCUGGGUGGUACGUUGGUGUCUGGGUGACCUCAGGAAGCUGGGACAUAGUGCCCAGGGCAGGGAAGCAACGUCUUCACGGGGCCACGGGACAGGAAAUCAGGAGAGCGGGAGAGCUGGAAGGGAUCUCACUCCGCAGCCUCAUUUUAGAAAAACAGAAACUCAAGCCCACAGGGGAAGCCUCUAUAACAACUCACGCUGAUGUCGGCAAUGGCAGAAGCAGAGAUAAGACCAGGCGCGGUCUGAGCCCUGCAUGAGUCACAGCUCAAACGACUGUCACAGCAAUAAUAACACUGUUAUUCCCUCCGCUUCACGGGUGAAGAAACUGAGGCACAGAAAGUUGAAACAUCGUGCCCAAAGCCAGAAUUGGCCCCAUGAGCUGAAUUUACCCUACGGAUACUUGCGGUGGAAUCACAAGAGGUAUGUCCAGGGAUGCUCAUCAUAGCAUCAUCUGCGAUGGCAAAAAUGCUGAAGACGACCUAUUAAGUCCAUACACAGGGCAGUGGUUAAAACAUGGAACUUUGUGCACUAGAAAUCUCUGCAGAUAGUCGACAGAAGGAAUCAGAUGUAAAUGUGCUGAUACAAAAAGAUAACCUUUUAGUUAGGAAAGUGUGCUAGUCUUAAGUACACAGCUUGAGUAAUUUUUCCAUGUGUCUACACCCGUGUAACCAUCAAGAUCGAGAUGGAACAUUCCCGUCACUUGAGAGGGCUCCCUGUGCUCUUUAGAAUCAGUCACGCCCUCUCCCCACACAAAGGAACCAUUCUUCUGACUUUGGGGGCUGUUGAGUAGUUCUGCCUGUUCUUGAACUUCACAGAAAAGGAAUCACAUGGUGUGCGUUCUCUUAUACUUGGCUUCUUUCACUUAGCAUAAUGUUCUUGAAAUUCAUCCAUGUUAUGUAUACAUGAGUGCUUUGUUCCUUUUCAUUGCUAUGUAACAUUCUAUUAUAGGUUAUAACACAAUUUGUUAUUCAUUUACAUAUGGGACAUUUGGGUUGUUUCUACUUUUUGACUAAUAUAGUAAAGCUGCUCUGAACAUUCUUG
RNAcentral lists this long non-coding RNA (3271 nucleotides) under Homo sapiens (human). Its description in RNAcentral is "HSALNT0269444". The record is from RNAcentral. Lineage: Eukaryota; Metazoa; Chordata; Mammalia; Primates; Hominidae.